UCCCACAACAUAUGGGAAUUAUUUGGGUGGGGACACAGCCAAACCAUCUCAUUUACAUUGUCAGUAAAUGGCAGAGUUAGAUUAAAAAUCUAGGCAUCCCCUUUUUUUUGCCCGACAUCUUAGCAAGGCUGCGGUGUCCUCUGCUGCUCUCAGAGCUUGGCAAUGCCGCCCAAAGACGACAAGAAGAAGAAAGACGCCGGAAAGUCGGCUAAGAAAGACAAAGACCCGGUGAACAAAUCCGGGGGCCAGGCCAAAAAGAAGAAGUGGUCCAAAGGCAAAAUUCGGGACAAGUUCAAUAACUUAGUCUUGUUUGACAAAGCCACCUAUGACAAACUCUGUAAGGAAGUUCCCAACUAUAAACUUAUAAUCCCAGCUGUGGUCUCUGAGAGACUGAAGAUUCGAGGCUCCCUGGUCAGGGCAGCCCUUUAGGAGCUCCUUAGUAAAGGACAUAUCAAACUGGUUUCAAAGCACAGAGUUCAAGUAAUUUACACCAGAAAUACCAAGGGCGGAGAUGCUCCAGCUGCUGGUGAAGAUGCAUGAAUAGGUCCAACCAACUGAACAUUUGGAAAAAUAAAACUUUAUUAAAUUAAAA
This is an RNA transcript of Cercocebus atys (sooty mangabey), 592 nucleotides long. It is a transcript of the gene named 40S ribosomal protein S25 pseudogene, with no coding region annotated. NCBI's taxonomy places the organism in Eukaryota, Metazoa, Chordata, Mammalia, Primates, Cercopithecidae. The record is from RefSeq and is a predicted model, not a curated record. The transcript has a single exon.